RNAcentral lists this ribosomal RNA (82 nucleotides) under Drummondia sinensis. RNAcentral's name for it is "partial 5.8S ribosomal RNA". It matches the Rfam family "5.8S ribosomal RNA", at positions 76 to 154 of the family's 154-position model. Rfam says of the family: 5.8S ribosomal RNA (5.8S rRNA) is a component of the large subunit of the eukaryotic ribosome. Lineage: Eukaryota; Viridiplantae; Streptophyta; Bryopsida; Scouleriales; Drummondiaceae. The record is from RNAcentral.
AGAAUUCCGCGAAUCAUCGAGUCUUUGAACGCAACUUGCGCCCGAGGCAUUUGACCGAGGGCAUUUCUGCCAGAGCGUCACC